RNAcentral lists this ribosomal RNA (207 nucleotides) under uncultured bacterium. Its description in RNAcentral is "partial 16S ribosomal RNA". It matches the Rfam family "Bacterial small subunit ribosomal RNA", at positions 568 to 774 of the family's 1533-position model. The record is from RNAcentral.
UGCGUAGGCGGCUUAUUAAGUCGGAUGUGAAAUCCCCGAGCUUAACUUGGGAAUUGCAUUCGAUACUGGUGAGCUAGAGUAUGGGAGAGGAUGGUAGAAUUCCAGGUGUAGCGGUGAAAUGCGUAGAGAUCUGGAGGAAUACCGAUGGCGAAGGCAGCCAUCUGGCCUAAUACUGACGCUGAGGUACGAAAGCAGUGGGAGCAAACA